Molecule: long non-coding RNA, 3222 nt
Organism: Branchiostoma floridae (Florida lancelet)
Lineage: Eukaryota; Metazoa; Chordata; Leptocardii; Amphioxiformes; Branchiostomatidae
Exons: 2
Source: RefSeq, a predicted model, not a curated record
AUCUGAGACAACUAAAAUGUGAAACUGACACUUAAACUUUCGCAACCACUUUGUGACCUUAGUGUGGUAAUCCUGUUGAAGUGACAGUCCUGACAUCUAUACCAUAUAGUGAUGUCCAUGUGCACCCUGGCAUCAUUCAUAGUGUGAUCUGUUGGUCAUUGGAAGACAGUUGGCAGGUUUGGUGCUGGACACUGUAGUACUGUAUCCAUCAAGACUAUCUGCCAGACAUAUUGGCUGGAAGAAUUUUGUCUACAUGUUAAAAUGAUGGCUGGACCUUAAUACAAGUUCAGUUGUUGGGAACUGCAAAACACUGUUCAAAGGAAGCUACAAAAAAACAGCAUGCCAGCCUGGAAGUAUAUUGGGUGUACAGUAGCAGAUAAAGUCAAUAUGUAUCUGUGUUACAUGUUAGGCCAUGUCCAUUACAUUACAUGGAUGACAUCCGCACACGCAUCAAUUUUCCUUUAAAAAGAAAGAAAAAUUUUAGUUAGACUGUAAGCCGUACAAAGCAGCUACAAAACGAGUAAAUGCAUGCUGUAAAUAGAAUAGAAAAUAUCAAAAAACGGGUAUGAACGUCACAGAAUGCCAAUAUAGAACAAAACUGUUUUUAAUGGUAGUCCAUACACUGUGUGUUUAGUCCUUUGUUCGACCUUCCUGACUGACUACUUCGUAGAUUUCAUAAUGAAGGUAACUUUCUUUUGCACCCUUGCAGCAGUUUUGGGUGGGGGUUCCAGACAAUAUCAUCCAUAUAUUUGAAUCAAUAUGGCCUUCUUCUUAAUGCCUUAUGUCUACCGUAAAUCUCGAAACUUUCGAUGUAGCUUUACUUGUGAGUUUUUUUCGAUGACCUCUCUACUGCAAAUUCGUGACACUGAAAAUAUGUGUCCCUUGUAUAAGUAUUGUGAUACAAAAUUACAAAAGAUGUGCAUUCAAAACACUGUCAAAACAUUAUCUUCCCUCUAUGGGUGAAAUAAGACCACUGCAAAAGUAUAAGAAUUUACAGUGCUGUGCCAAGGAUGCCUUCAGCAAGGGACAAGCACCUGUUAGGUGUUCCAUUUCUGCAUGGCCCCCCAAAUCCCUGACAUCCCUGUACCUCCGCACACUCCUCACCACUGAUUUAUGCAAGGCAGAGAUGACAGGUGAAAAGGGGGGGAAGAACAAGUAAUUGUGCCUACAUCUACAAUAUCACCUUGGCUGGAGGGCACCGAUUUCCCUGGGCACUUCCCUCAUUGUUGGUGAGUUUACAAGAUUUAGUGCGGUGGCAAAUAAAAGUGACAAUCUUUGAAUUGUUAAAUGCCGAAGUGGCGGAGGUAUCAGUGAUUUGUCUGGGUCCUUCUGUGUGGUGUAUCGCCUGAUCCCGGACUCGGGAGGGACAGGACUCCCAGCAGAUUCUGGUGGCUCUCUUUAUAGGUGCUGGCAAAAUGGUAGCGGGACAUUUCGCCGCCAAGAUGUUUUGCCGACAACUGCCGUCACCUGCACAAUUGGUCUAUAAAUUACUACACAUCACCGUUUCUAGCUAAAUUUCUGUUGUUAGGCUUAUCGUAAUGGUUAGGGUUAGAAUUUUUCUAUAGGUGCUUGCAAAAUGGUAGCGGGACACUUCGCCGCCAAGAUGUUUUGCCGACAAUUGCCGUCACCUGCUAUAAAUUCCUACAAAUCACCGUUUCUAGCUAAAUUUCUGUUGUUAUGCUUAUCGUAACGAUUAGGGUUGGAAUGUUUUCUACAGGUGAUUGAAAAUGGUAUCAGGACAUUUUGCCAUCCCCCGUACAGUUUUGGUCUAUAAAUUCCAACAAAUGUCCGCUUGUAGUUAAAUUACCAAGGUGAUGGUUAUCAAUACAGUAACAAUAAGGGUUAAAUUUUUUCCAUAGAUGCUUGAAAAUGGUAUCUAGACUUUUUGCCGCCAAGACAUCUUGUCAUCACUUGCACAAUUGGUCUGUGAAUUCAAGUACUAAUAAAUCACUGUUAGAUGCUAUAACUUUCUAUUGUUAUGGUUAUGGAUACAGCAAGCGUCUUAAUUUUUGAUGGCAAAAGGCCUCGGUGGCAAAGCCUUUAGAAAAUCUCGCAAAUUCAUACAGUACAUAUUCAUUGCUGAACAUGUACAUGGAAAAAGUUGUGUCAUGUUAGUCUACAGACUGUGAUCCUCUUGGCUAAAGCCUGACUAAAUCAGGCUUCUAGCAGCCCUUUCACUACCCUGGAUGCCAGACUGCUUCCAGGGCCUACACAGGCCAGCUCCUUGGCUCUAGGGCCAACAUGCCCCCAAGGAAAUUUUACCACAGGCCCCUGGAGUUAGACUCUAGAAUAGAUAUCAUAGCCAGAUCCACGCUACCCUUCAACUACAGAGACCCAAUAAGCCCCCGACAGAGAGAGAUGUGUAACGUGGGCUGUUGUCCCCCUAUAGUGACGUCCCUCAUCCUACAACAUGGUACAUGUAACAUGUACAUAAGGCGAGCCAGGGUCUAUCUAACUGUAAGGCUGUAUCUUCUCACAGUGACAAGACGUAACCACUUGUCAGAUGGUGCUUGUUAUGUAUUGAUACCGUAAGCACCCCUCCUGCAGGCGUGGAAACUGUAGGAGAUCAGACCUGACAAGAUGGCCACUUUGCGCACAGUUUUUCCACAAACAGGGCCUGACUGCCUGCUGACAGAGCAUUACAACAAAAAGGUUUCAAUGCCAAGAUUCCUUUGCGCGGCGCAAGGACGUUGCCGUACCGAGUGCUUGACUCGGGCCACAUUUUUGGAAUCGCUGACUGGGGCUGGAUACAUUGGUUUCAAAGGUAAAACAUUCUGCUCGAGACCUCUAAGUUCAGCGGUAGUGUUUGUAUUUCAACUACAGCAUGGCCGGUACUACAUCAAGUGUGCACCCAUGCCAGGGCCCACUUUACCGCUUGUUUUGGCAGCUUUUUCCAAGCUCUUGCAAACUGUGGGAAUUGGCCCGAGUCGUUACUUGUAUUUACAGAAACGAGUGAAGCUGAUACGAAAGUAAAGAAAUUGAAAGGAAACAUUCUCUUCUGUUUCUUUGCAGUGAAUGCAUGGACGAGCUGAUGUAUAGUUCUUAAUGAUUUUAUGAUGUAAAUCAUGUCAGUGCAACAGAAACAAGUGAAGUUGAUCAGUAAGUAAGGGAAGACCCAACCAUCUUUUCUGUUUCUUUACAGUGAAUACCUGGACAACUUCAGAUACAAUUUUGCUAGAUUUCAUGAUGUAUGUCAGUACAAUAGAAACAAGUAAAGCUGAU